GUAGGUGGGCAAGCGUUGUCCGGAAUUAUUGGGCGUAAAGCGCGCGCAGGGCGGUCCGUUUAAGUCUGAUGUGAAAAGCCCACGGCUCAAACCGUGGAGGGUCAUUGGAAAACUCGGGGGGACUUGAGUACAGAAGAGGAAAGCGGAAUUCCAAGUGUAGCGGUGAAAUGCGUAGAGAUUUGGAGGAACACCAGUGGCGAAGGCGGCUUUCUGGUCUGUAACUGACGCUGAGGCGCGAAAGCGGUGGGGAGCAAACAGGAUUAGAUACCCUGGUAGUCCACGACCGUAAACGAUGAGUGCUAAGUGUUAGGGGGUUUCCGCCCCUUAGUGCUGCAGCUAACGCAUUAAGCACUCCGCCUGGGGAGUACGGCCGCAAGGCUG
RNAcentral lists this ribosomal RNA (381 nucleotides) under uncultured organism. RNAcentral's name for it is "partial 16S ribosomal RNA". It matches the Rfam family "Bacterial small subunit ribosomal RNA", at positions 526 to 896 of the family's 1533-position model. The record is from RNAcentral.